Molecule: ribosomal RNA, 2825 nt
Filed under: Klebsiella pneumoniae
Lineage: Bacteria; Pseudomonadati; Pseudomonadota; Gammaproteobacteria; Enterobacterales; Enterobacteriaceae
Description: partial 23S ribosomal RNA
Rfam family: Bacterial large subunit ribosomal RNA
Source: RNAcentral
GGGUUGUGAGGUUAAGCGACUAAGCGUACACGGUGGAUGCCCUGGCAGUCAGAGGCGAUGAAGGACGUGCUAAUCUGCGAAAAGCGUCGGUAAGGUGAUAUGAACCGUUAUAGCCGGCGAUGUCCGAAUGGGGAAACCCAGUGCAAUUCGUUGCACUAUCGUUAACUGAAUACAUAGGUUAACGAGGCGAACCGGGGGAACUGAAACAUCUAAGUACCCCGAGGAAAAGAAAUCAACCGAGAUUCCCCCAGUAGCGGCGAGCGAACGGGGAGCAGCCCAGAGUCUGAAUCAGCUUGUGUGUUAGUGGAACGGUCUGGAAAGUCCGACGGUACAGGGUGAUAGUCCCGUACACCAAAAUGCACAGGCUGUGAACUCGAAGAGUAGGGCGGGACACGUGGUAUCCUGUCUGAAUAUGGGGGGACCAUCCUCCAAGGCUAAAUACUCCUGACUGACCGAUAGUGAACCAGUACCGUGAGGGAAAGGCGAAAAGAACCCCGGCGAGGGGAGUGAAAAAGAACCUGAAACCGUGUACGUACAAGCAGUGGGAGCACCUUCGGGUGUGACUGCGUACCUUUUGUAUAAUGGGUCAGCGACUUAUAUUCUGUAGCAAGGUUAACCGUAUAGGGGAGCCGCAGGGAAACCGAGUCUUAACUGGGCGUUAAGUUGCAGGGUAUAGACCCGAAACCCGGUGAUCUAGCCAUGGGCAGGUUGAAGGUUGGGUAACACUAACUGGAGGACCGAACCGACUAAUGUUGAAAAAUUAGCGGAUGACUUGUGGCUGGGGGUGAAAGGCCAAUCAAACCGGGAGAUAGCUGGUUCUCCCCGAAAGCUAUUUAGGUAGCGCCUCGUGAACUCAUCUUCGGGGGUAGAGCACUGUUUCGGCUAGGGGGUCAUCCCGACUUACCAACCCGAUGCAAACUACGAAUACCGAAGAAUGUUAUCACGGGAGACACACGGCGGGUGCUAACGUCCGUCGUGAAGAGGGAAACAACCCAGACCGCCAGCUAAGGUCCCAAAGUCAUGGUUAAGUGGGAAACGAUGUGGGAAGGCACAGACAGCCAGGAUGUUGGCUUAGAAGCAGCCAUCAUUUAAAGAAAGCGUAAUAGCUCACUGGUCGAGUCGGCCUGCGCGGAAGAUGUAACGGGGCUAAACCAUGCACCGAAGCUGCGGCAGCGACACUAUGUGUUGUUGGGUAGGGGAGCGUUCUGUAAGCCUGCGAAGGUGUGCUGUGAGGCAUGCUGGAGGUAUCAGAAGUGCGAAUGCUGACAUAAGUAACGAUAAAGCGGGUGAAAAGCCCGCUCGCCGGAAGACCAAGGGUUCCUGUCCAACGUUAAUCGGGGCAGGGUGAGUCGACCCCUAAGGCGAGGCCGAAAGGCGUAGUCGAUGGGAAACAGGUUAAUAUUCCUGUACUUGGUGUUACUGCGAAGGGGGGACGGAGAAGGCUAUGUUAGCCGGGCGACGGUUGUCCCGGUUUAAGCAUGUAGGCUGGUUGUCCAGGCAAAUCCGGAUAAUCAAGGCUGAGGUGUGAUGACGAGGCACUACGGUGCUGAAGUAACAAAUGCCCUGCUUCCAGGAAAAGCCUCUAAGCAUCAGGUAACAUCAAAUCGUACCCCAAACCGACACAGGUGGUCAGGUAGAGAAUACCAAGGCGCUUGAGAGAACUCGGGUGAAGGAACUAGGCAAAAUGGUGCCGUAACUUCGGGAGAAGGCACGCUGGUGUGUAGGUGAAGUCCCUGCGGAUGGAGCUGAGACCAGUCGAAGAUACCAGCUGGCUGCAACUGUUUAUUAAAAACACAGCACUGUGCAAACACGAAAGUGGACGUAUACGGUGUGACGCCUGCCCGGUGCCGGAAGGUUAAUUGAUGGGGUUAUCCGUAAGGAGAAGCUCUUGAUCGAAGCCCCGGUAAACGGCGGCCGUAACUAUAACGGUCCUAAGGUAGCGAAAUUCCUUGUCGGGUAAGUUCCGACCUGCACGAAUGGCGUAAUGAUGGCCAGGCUGUCUCCACCCGAGACUCAGUGAAAUUGAACUCGCUGUGAAGAUGCAGUGUACCCGCGGCAAGACGGAAAGACCCCGUGAACCUUUACUAUAGCUUGACACUGAACAUUGAGCCUUGAUGUGUAGGAUAGGUGGGAGGCUUUGAAGCGUGGACGCCAGUCUGCGUGGAGCCAACCUUGAAAUACCACCCUUUAAUGUUUGAUGUUCUAACGUUGGCCCCUGACCGGGGUUGCGGACAGUGUCUGGUGGGUAGUUUGACUGGGGCGGUCUCCUCCCAAAGCGUAACGGAGGAGCACGAAGGUUAGCUAAUCCUGGUCGGACAUCAGGAGGUUAGUGCAAUGGCAUAAGCUAGCUUGACUGCGAGCGUGACGGCGCGAGCAGGUGCGAAAGCAGGUCAUAGUGAUCCGGUGGUUCUGAAUGGAAGGGCCAUCGCUCAACGGAUAAAAGGUACUCCGGGGAUAACAGGCUGAUACCGCCCAAGAGUUCAUAUCGACGGCGGUGUUUGGCACCUCGAUGUCGGCUCAUCACAUCCUGGGGCUGAAGUAGGUCCCAAGGGUAUGGCUGUUCGCCAUUUAAAGUGGUACGCGAGCUGGGUUUAGAACGUCGUGAGACAGUUCGGUCCCUAUCUGCCGUGGGCGCUGGAGAAUUGAGGGGGGCUGCUCCUAGUACGAGAGGACCGGAGUGGACGCAUCACUGGUGUUCGGGUUGUCAUGCCAAUGGCACUGCCCGGUAGCUAAAUGCGGAAGAGAUAAGUGCUGAAAGCAUCUAAGCACGAAACUUGCCCCGAGAUGAGUUCUCCCUGAGACUUUAAGUCUCCUGAAGGAACGUU